GGUCUAUUAGUGUAGUGGUUAUCACUCUGGAUUUUGAUUGCUCGUCAAAGUCUUCCAGUAACCCCAGUUCGAAUCUGGGAUAGACCU
Transfer RNA from Stagonospora sp., 87 nucleotides. It matches the Rfam family "tRNA". From Rfam's summary of the family: Transfer RNA (tRNA) molecules are approximately 80 nucleotides in length. Their secondary structure includes four short double-helical elements and three loops (D, anti-codon, and T loops). The record is from Rfam. Lineage: Eukaryota; Fungi; Ascomycota; Dothideomycetes; Pleosporales; Massarinaceae.